RNAcentral lists this ribosomal RNA (216 nucleotides) under Candidatus Bathyarchaeota archaeon. RNAcentral's name for it is "partial 23S ribosomal RNA". It matches the Rfam family "Archaeal large subunit ribosomal RNA", at positions 23 to 222 of the family's 2987-position model. Lineage: Archaea; Thermoproteati; Candidatus Bathyarchaeota. The record is from RNAcentral.
UGGUGGAUGGCUCGGCUUGAGCGCCGAAGAAGGGCGCGGCCAGCCGCGAUAGGGCCCCGGGUAAGCGUAUGCAGCUUUAGAACCGGGGAUCCCCGAAUGGGACCUCCUACCAUAGGCUCCUUCGGGGGCCUAUGGUGCUCCCGGCAGGGAGCGGGAACCCCCCGAACGGAAGCAUCUUAGUAGGGGGAGGAAAAGAAACCAAAACGGGAUUCCCUU